This 72-nucleotide transfer RNA is filed under the name bacterium. RNAcentral's name for it is "tRNA-Arg". It matches the Rfam family "tRNA". Rfam says of the family: Transfer RNA (tRNA) molecules are approximately 80 nucleotides in length. Their secondary structure includes four short double-helical elements and three loops (D, anti-codon, and T loops). The record is from RNAcentral.
GCCCUUGUAGUGAAAUGGAUAUCACGCGACGCUUCGAACGUCGAGCUCUAGGUUCAAUUCCUAGCAAGGGCA